This 891-nucleotide ribosomal RNA is filed under the name Desmophyllum pertusum. RNAcentral describes it as "eukaryotic LSU rRNA". The stretch from base 666 to 891 matches the Rfam family "Eukaryotic large subunit ribosomal RNA", at positions 1 to 222 of the family's 3401-position model. Lineage: Eukaryota; Metazoa; Cnidaria; Anthozoa; Scleractinia; Caryophylliidae. The record is from RNAcentral.
UUGAAUGGUUUAGUGAGAGCUUCUGACUGGCGCCGAUACUCUGGCAACAGAGCGCCGGAUGCCGGAAAGUUGGUCAAACUUGAUCAUUUAGAGGAAGUAAAAGUCGUAACAAGGUUUCCGUAGGUGAACCUGCGGAAGGAUCAUUACCGAUGAUAUUCGUCCAACAACUACACAGUUGUACCUUGUGAACCGUACCAAACUAUUCAGGGGUCGGCUUGUCCGUUAAAUGGUCGUCGGACGCGAGAGAUCGCGGCCGCUCGACCGGCCCCGCACGCGUUUUGUUUUUUUUAUAAACAUAUGUGUACCUGUCUGACCAAGCGUUGCGGCCGGCCCAAGGGUCGGUCGCGGCAAUUAGAGCAAAAAACGAGAUACAACUUUUGACGGUGGAUCUCUUGGCUCACGCAUCGAUGAAGAACGCAGCCAGCUGCGAUAAGCCAGGAGCAUGUCUGUCUGAGUGUCGGAUAUCAUCCAACGCACGCCAGCGUGCGGAAUUGAGGCGUCACGGUCCGUACUGCACGGACCGUGUCCCUUGAAAGUCAGAGAGACUCGCCGCGUCGCGGGAAGAUUCCCCGUGCACACCAGCGGAGGCUAAAAUGUCUUUUGCCCUUCGCGUGCCGGGAAGUCGCCGCGUGCGGCGGUCGUCGUCGGGCGAACUUUAAUUAUCUUGACCUCAGAUCAGGCAAGGCUACCCGCUGAAUUUAAGCAUAUUAAUAAGCGGAGGAAAAGAAACUAACAAGGAUUCCCUCAGUAACGGCGAGUGAAGCGGGACCAGCUCAAAUUUGAAAUCUCCGAUGCCUGCAUCGGCGAGUUGUAGUUGCGAGAAGCACUUUCUAGGUGGAUCGGUCGUGCCUAAGUUGCUUGGAACAGCACGUCGCAGAGGGUGACAACCCG